GACGAACGCUGGCGGCGUGCUUAACACAUGCAAGUCGAACGGAAAGGCCCUGCUUUUGUGGGGUGCUCGAGUGGCGAACGGGUGAGUAACACGUGAGUAACCUGCCCUUGACUUUGGGAUAACUUCAGGAAGCUGGGGCUAAUACCGGAUAGGAGCUCCUGCUGCAUGGUGGGGGUGGGAACGUUUCGGCGGUUGGGGAUGGACUCGCGGCUUAUCAGCUUGUUGGUGGGGUAGUGGCUUACCAAGGCUUUGACGGGUAGCCGGCCUGAGAGGGUGACCGGCCACAUUGGGACUGAGAUACGGCGCAGACUCCUACGGGAGGCAGCAGUGGGGAAUAUUGCACAAUGGGCGGAAGCCUGAUGCAGCAACGCCGCGUGCGGGAUGACGGCCUUCGGGUUGUAAACCGCUUUCGCCUGUGACGAAGCGUGAGUGACGGUAAUGGGUAAAGAAGCACCGGCUAACUACGUG
RNAcentral lists this ribosomal RNA (468 nucleotides) under uncultured bacterium. RNAcentral's name for it is "partial 16S ribosomal RNA". It matches the Rfam family "Bacterial small subunit ribosomal RNA", at positions 28 to 507 of the family's 1533-position model. The record is from RNAcentral.